This 432-nucleotide unclassified non-coding RNA is filed under the name soil metagenome. RNAcentral describes it as "partial contains 5.8S ribosomal RNA, internal transcribed spacer 2, and large subunit ribosomal RNA". The stretch from base 1 to 120 matches the Rfam family "5.8S ribosomal RNA", at positions 35 to 154 of the family's 154-position model. The record is from RNAcentral.
GAUGAAGAACGCAGCGAAAUGCGAUACGUAAUGUGAAUUGCAGAAUUCAGUGAAUCAUCGAAUCUUUGAACGCAUAUUGCGCUCUCUGGUAUUACGGAGAGCAUGCUUGUUUGAGUAUCAGUAAACACCUCAACUUCCAUAUCUUUUUUGAAAUGGGAGUUGGACUUGAGUGAUCCCAACGCUUUUCCUCACCGAAAAGUGGAGGGUUACUUGAAAUGCAGGUGCAGCUGGACUUUUCUCUGAGCUAUAAGCAUAUCUAUUUAGUCUGCCUAAAAAACAGAUUAUUACCUUUGCUGCAGCUAACAUAAAGGAGAUUAGUUCUUGUGCUGACUGAUGCAGGAUUCACAAAGACGGCUUCGGCCGACUUUGUAAACUCGAUCUCAAAUCAAGUAAGACUACCCGCUGAACUUAAGCAUAUCAAUAAGCGGAGGA